RNAcentral lists this ribosomal RNA (253 nucleotides) under uncultured bacterium. RNAcentral describes it as "partial 16S ribosomal RNA". It matches the Rfam family "Bacterial small subunit ribosomal RNA", at positions 524 to 776 of the family's 1533-position model. The record is from RNAcentral.
UACGAAGGGGGCUAGCGUUGCUCGGAAUCACUGGGCGUAAAGGGUGCGUAGGUGGCGCGGUAAGUCGGGUGUGAAAUCUCGGAGCUUAACUCCGAAAUUGCAUUCGAUACUGCCGUGCUCGAGGACUGGAGAGGAGACUGGAAUUCAUGGUGUAGCAGUGAAAUGCGUAGAGAUCAUGAGGAAGACCAGUGGCGAAGGCGGGUCUCUGGACAGUUCCUGACACUGAGGCACGAAGGCCAGGGGAGCAAACAGG